UACGUAGGUGGCAAGCGUUGUCCGGAAUUAUUGGGCGUAAAGCGCGCGCAGGCGGCCUUUUAAGUCUGAUGUGAAAGCCCACGGCUCAACCGUGGAAGGUCAUUGGAAACUGAAAGGCUUGAGUACAGAAGAGGAAAGCGGAAUUCCACGUGUAGCGGUGAAAUGCGUAGAGAUGUGGAGGAACACCAGUGGCGAAGGCGGGUCUCUGGACAGUUCCUGACACUGAGGCACGAAGGCCAGGGGAGCAAACGGG
This 253-nucleotide ribosomal RNA is filed under the name uncultured bacterium. RNAcentral's name for it is "partial 16S ribosomal RNA". It matches the Rfam family "Bacterial small subunit ribosomal RNA", at positions 524 to 776 of the family's 1533-position model. The record is from RNAcentral.